This 537-nucleotide ribosomal RNA is filed under the name uncultured bacterium. RNAcentral describes it as "bacterial SSU rRNA". It matches the Rfam family "Bacterial small subunit ribosomal RNA", at positions 8 to 534 of the family's 1533-position model. The record is from RNAcentral.
AGAGUUUGAUCCUGGCUCAGGAUGAACGCUGGCGGCGUGCCUAACACAUGCAAGUCGAACGGAGCCUAAUCAGCAGAAGCGGACAGCUUGCUGGAAGCAGAAGCAGAAAAGGCUUAGUGGCGGACGGGUGAGCAACGCGUGGGUAACCUGGCCCAUACAGGGGGAUAACACUUAGAAAUAGGUGCUAAUACCGCAUAACAACAGAAAGCGCAUGCUUUGUGUUUGAAAACUGAGGUGGUAUGGGAUGGACCCGCGUCUGAUUAGCUGGUUGGCGGGGUAAUGGCCCACCAAGGCGACGAUCAGUAGCCGGCCUGAGAGGGUGGACGGCCACAUUGGGACUGAGACACGGCCCAAACUCCUACGGGAGGCAGCAGUGGGGAAUAUUGCACAAUGGGGGAAACCCUGAUGCAGCGACGCCGCGUGAGUGAAGAAGUAAUUCGUUAUGUAAAGCUCUAUCAGCAGGGAAGAAAAUGACGGUACCUGAUUAAGCAAGCCCCGGCUAACUACGUGCCAGCAGCCGCGGUAAUACGUAGGGGG